This is a long non-coding RNA of Betta splendens (Siamese fighting fish), 3360 nucleotides long. RefSeq lists it as uncharacterized. NCBI's taxonomy places the organism in Eukaryota, Metazoa, Chordata, Actinopteri, Anabantiformes, Osphronemidae. The transcript is spliced from 3 exons. The record is from RefSeq and is a predicted model, not a curated record.
CGCACACCAUCUAGUGAGGAAAUGCGAUGUAAAAUGGGAGCAGACCUAGAAGCAGACAACCCCCAGGCUCUGAUCCUGUUGCCAUGCGGCCGUUUCCCGGGCAACCCGUUCCCAAUGGCUCGUGCUGGAGCAGUAAAACCGACCACAGAGUCAAGAUAGCAGCGUGAGAUGUUAUCAGGAUGCACCGUCUGGAGCAACUCCAUUAAAAUUAAAUAGGGAAGGGGAAUUGAGUGAGAAGAUUCGCCCGCGUCACAAAGGGGCCGGUUUGGUUUAGAGCGCGGUGUCACGUGGUGUGUGAUGGAGCUGAACGUCCUGAGAGCUGCCAGCGAAACAGGUAAUAGAAAGGCUGUGUCCACCUUCAGUGUCAGAUACAUCAAACACGGCCGUGACAUUGGGCUUUCAGGACAGACUAACCUCCCAUUCAAGGAAAUACAAAACAAGAACCCUUAAUGCCCUUGCUCUUGCCCAGAGUUCUUCACGUAAGAAAUUCCAUUAUGGUAUAGUUCAACAGGCGCCGCGUGUCUGAGUAAAGAGUAAUGUAUUACAUUUCUCCAACUGUACCUUACCUUGUCAAAGUCCAAAUGCCCAUUUAUAACUGAGAUAUAGUGGACAAAACACAUUUUGAUAUAUGUAGCCCUCCAGCAGUGAUUUAUUUAGAGCUUUCCUUUCUUUGCUUUUCCUGCGCUGCCGGUGGGGGACGAAACCUACAGCGCUCAUGAGUCACAAGUGACCCGUAGUCGCAGACAGCACCUACCGCAUUUCAAGUACAAACAGCUCUUCUGAGACGCUGCAUUCAGCGCAAAAGCACUCUCUGAGACUUCACAGCCAACUUCUCUUCCAGGAUGCGCAGCGCAGACGGACGAGCUGCAAUAAAACGGGAGUGAGCUGUCCAUCAUGUCACGGGCACAGUGACUUAUAGUCACUGGCCAUGUCUUUACAAGACAUACAGUAGUGCACUUUCUGCUUAAUUCUGGUCGCUUCAACGUGGAGCAGCUGUCGGGAGCAGGCGAGCGCCCGCUUGGCGGGAUGGAGAGUGGUCCACGAUGUAAACUGUGCUCGAGGCUACGUAAUAAUGAGACUCUGGGAAGCAACAGUGGAUGAAGCCACAGAUGCAACAGAAACCUCCAACACCAAACUGCUGGUUUACUGAUCACAAGCAGUCACGUUUUUCAUUUCCAAGAAUUCAGCAGAAACAUCAUUUGUGUUACAUAAGCAGCAAUUCUUCAAAUUGUGCAAUAAUGUGGUUAAAAUAAAACACAUGUACUGAAUAAAAGAUAGAGAAUGGAAUUUGCCCCCUCGUGUCAAACUUUAGCAAAGUGCAUUUUCAUUUAUUUAUUCGCAGAAGACUCCUGCGUGGAGCUGUCGAUCAGGGUCAAGUGUGAUGAAUGUUUUAUACGCAGCAAAACAAAGGACUGAAUCUGACGUCAUGGCUUCCUGUUGGCUCGGUCCGAGCCUUUGCUUAAAGCUGCAAUAAUGCAUUUAAGGGGAUCUUAGGAGGUGAAUGGAGCACUCACCUAAACCUCAAGGAGCCGGCAGAUAGAGCCAAAUUGGAGUAGCAUUGAUUUGUUUUGUAUUUUAUCCAGCCAGUAAAUGUCUGACGUGCGUGAAGUCCAAAAUCUAUUCUCGGUCUAGUUCUGCUCGAGGAUCCAACUCCGGAGAAAGUUGUUUCUUCAGCUAAGUGCUCCCCAUGUUUACCAGCCAUCUGCCCUUCAGUGUGGAGAACUCACUGUACUGUGGGGUCAUGACAGCUUUACUGUGUCUUUUCCUGAAAGCGGGUGUCGAUUCAAGAGGAAAAAACCAAACGAUGAUGCAAAAAGGACACCGCGGACGUCCUGAUGUCUGAUGAGAAGCAGCUGAUCUAGCUAAAAACAACAUUUCCGCCCCUUGCUCUCGGAGAGACGCUCAUUUUCCAGCUUUCUGCUUUCUGUAGGACUGUGUGUUGUAAUGAAGGCCCUGUGUUUGCAUGGUGUAAAGCGUCUGAGCGCCUCGCUGAGCGGAGGAAGGUGCAGCGCUGCUUUCUUGCUCCCUGGGCUUUUCCGUUUCAUGUAGCGCUCAAACGGCAGCCACAGGCAAAGCAGCGGCUGCUGUUUGUUUUCUUUGAUUGUUGAGCUCGCAUGGCGAAGCCCUCCUCUCCAGCCUUUCAAAAAACUUUGUGUCACUCUGGGUAAACGUCGAGUGUCUCUGCCAACGCUAAACUGCCGCAGCCCGCGCGUCUUCAUGGUAUUAGUUCUAUUGUUUCUGAUGGGGACUCCUAAAGCGAAAGGGGCACUUUUUAUUCAGAAUCUCGCUGGACUUGCAGCAAUAAGCACAACUUGAAUAGAACUGAAAGAAGCCGACGGUGUUCCUGGAGUUCCGCUCUGCUGACUUCCUCACUCCUUCCUGAUCCGCGCAGUGAUUUAUACUGUGUCCCUGUUACUCAGGGGCCACGCGCAGCUCUAGCAGGGACCUUUGUGUUGUCACAAAUCCUUGGCUGCUGAUACACGUUCGUUUCAAAUCAUAAAUUACUUAAAGUGACUCUUCAGGGACUGCGGUGUCGAAAACCUGCUUUGAUUUAUUUCCCUGUGAAAAAACAAAUCUUUUAGUGAUUUGGUCUUGAAUUGAAAGCGUUCUGAUACAGUGGGGAGUUUUCCCUGGUCCCACAAAAGCCCUUCAGCGGUUGCCUUGGGUUUUCCCAGUCUGUAUUUAUUUACCUGAAUGUGUUAUCACUGUAUUUCAGACGGUUGAUGAAUGGUGUCAUCACUGUGCAAUCAGCCUAAACCUCAAGUGUCAAAUAAAUUAGCUGCAACACGUCUGACAUUUCUGUGAAUUGUCCUAAAGGGUGAGGUUCACAGGUGAUCUGCACCCGUGUUCAUUUUUCAUUAGCAUCUGCUUUUUUAAAUAAACAUCUGGGGGAAUAAAAGCAGCGCGACAUCACAGUCGCCCUCAUUGAGGCUGGCGGCUCCAGACGAGGCUGCUUUGACUGAAGCGCGUCGAGCCUGGAAGUGGUGCACGAUUCACGUAGCAUAUUUAGCAGCAGUUGAAUGUUUUAUGGGGAAAGUUUGCAUGAAAGGAGCUUUUCAGACUCCGGUGCUUCCUUUCAUUUGACUGUUUGACUUAUCGUGAACCGCAGAUAGAAACGAUUGUGAGCCUUCUGUCAAAGCCCGUCUCCUGUGGCCUCCUCCACCGAAUGCCUAACACCAGCACUUUGUGCAGCUGUGCUGACCAUGAACAGACUUUUAUUCUGGCAUAAAUAAAUGAAAAAUACAUAAAGAUGAUAAGUAAUGAUACAAUUGCUUCCAAUUCUUCACGUUACCUUAAAAUAAACGACUGAACCGACACAUGGCUGCUUUGUUAUCUUUUUCCAAACCCUGCUCCGAGUUU